This 193-nucleotide long non-coding RNA is filed under the name Fukomys damarensis (Damara mole-rat). RNAcentral describes it as "lncRNA (ENSFDAG00000030932.1)". Lineage: Eukaryota; Metazoa; Chordata; Mammalia; Rodentia; Bathyergidae. The record is from RNAcentral.
UCUUACCAUCUUGUUUACUCUCCACAGGCUGCAGGUGAUCCAGGAACAUGGUUCAGAUGGGUCACAGCACUUCUGGCUUCUGUAUCCUCACCAAUAUUGUCUUGCUCACACAGCAAAAUUGCAAAUCACUGAACAAUUAACAACAAGGUAAGAACAAGAAGAAACAAGGAAGCGAUAACCAUCUUACACUAAU